Molecule: ribosomal RNA, 497 nt
Filed under: uncultured bacterium
Lineage: Bacteria
Description: partial 16S ribosomal RNA
Rfam family: Bacterial small subunit ribosomal RNA
Source: RNAcentral
GAUGAACGCUGGCGGCGUGCCUAAUACAUGCAAGUCGAGCGAACAGACGAGGAACUUGCUCCUCUGACGUUAGCGGCGGACGGGUGAGUAACACGUGGAUAACCUACCUAUAAGACUGGGAUAACUUCGGGAAACCGGAGCUAAUACCGGAUAAUAUAUUGAACCGCAUGGUUCAAUAGUGAAAGACGGUUUUGCUGUCACUUAUAGAUGGAUCCGCGCCGCAUUAGCUAGUUGGUAAGGUAACGGCUUACCAAGGCAACGAUGCGUAGCCGACCUGAGAGGGUGAUCGGCCACACGGGAACUGAGACACGGUCCAGACUCCUACGGGAGGCAGCAGUAGGGAAUCUUCCGCAAUGGGCGAAAGCCUGACGGAGCAACGCCGCGUGAGUGAUGAAGGUCUUCGGAUCGUAAAACUCUGUUAUUAGGGAAGAACAAAUGUGUAAGUAACUAUGCACGUCUUGACGGUACCUAAUCAGAAAGCCACGGCUAACUACGUG